GCUAGCGUUGCUCGGAAUCACUGGGCGUAAGGGGUGCGUAGGCGGGUCUUUAAGUCAGGGGUGAAAUCCUGGAGCUCAACUCCAGAACUGCCUUUGAUACUGAAGAUCUUGAGUUCGGGAGAGGUGAGUGGAACUGCGAGUGUAGAGGUGAAAUUCGUAGAUAUUCGCAAGAACACCAGUGGCGAAGGCGGCUCACUGGCCCGAUACUGACGCUGAGGUGCGAAAGCGUGGGGAGCAAACAGG
This 243-nucleotide ribosomal RNA is filed under the name uncultured bacterium. RNAcentral describes it as "partial 16S ribosomal RNA". It matches the Rfam family "Bacterial small subunit ribosomal RNA", at positions 534 to 776 of the family's 1533-position model. The record is from RNAcentral.